CCUACGGGGGGCAGCAGUGAGGAAUAUUGGUCAAUGGACGAGAGUCUGAACCAGCCAAGUCGCGUGAAGGAUGACUGCCCUCUGGGUUGUAAACUUCUUUUAUAUGGGAAUAAAAUGUUCCACGUGUGGGAUUUUGUAUGUACCAUAUGAAUAAGGAUCGGCUAACUCCGUGCCAGCAGCCGCGGUAAUACGGAGGAUCCGAGCGUUAUCCGGUUUGAUUGGGUUUAAAGGGAGCGUAGGUGGAUUGUUAAGUCAGUUGUGAAAGUUUGCGGCUCAACCGUAAAAUUGCAGUUGAAACUGGCAGUCUUGAGUACAGUAGAGGUGGGCGGAAUUCGUGGUGUAGCGGUGAAAUGCUUAGAUAUCACGAAGAACUCCGAUUGCGAAGGCAGCUCACUGGACUGCAACUGACACUGAGGCUCGAAAGUGUGGGUAUCAAACAGGAUUAGAUACCCGAGUAGUC
RNAcentral lists this ribosomal RNA (460 nucleotides) under uncultured bacterium. RNAcentral's name for it is "partial 16S ribosomal RNA". It matches the Rfam family "Bacterial small subunit ribosomal RNA", at positions 338 to 795 of the family's 1533-position model. The record is from RNAcentral.